UACAGAGGUGGCAAGCGUUGUUCGGAAUUACUGGGCGUAAAGGGCGCGUAGGCGGCCUGUUAAGUCGAACGUGAAAUCCCCGGGCUCAACCCGGGAACUGCGUCCGAUACUGGCAGGCUUGAAUCCGGGAGAGGGAUGCGGAAUUCCAGGUGUAGCGGUGAAAUGCGUAGAUAUCUGGAGGAAUACCGGUGGCGAAGGCGGCAUCCUGGACCGACAUUGACGCUGAGGAGCGAAAGCUAGGGGAGCAAACGGG
Molecule: ribosomal RNA, 253 nt
Filed under: uncultured bacterium
Lineage: Bacteria
Description: partial 16S ribosomal RNA
Rfam family: Bacterial small subunit ribosomal RNA
Source: RNAcentral